This 256-nucleotide ribosomal RNA is filed under the name uncultured bacterium. RNAcentral's name for it is "partial 16S ribosomal RNA". It matches the Rfam family "Bacterial small subunit ribosomal RNA", at positions 97 to 353 of the family's 1533-position model. The record is from RNAcentral.
GGCGGACGGGUGAGUAAUGUCUGGGAAACUGCCUGAUGGAGGGGGGAUAACUACUGGAAACGGUAGCUAAUACCGCAUAACGUCGCAAGACCAAAGAGGGGGACCUUCGGGCCUCUUGCCAUCGGAUGUGCCCAGAUGGGAUUAGCUAGUAGGUGGGGUAACGGCUCACCUAGGCGACGAUCCCUAGCUGGUCUGAGAGGAUGACCAGCCACACUGGAACUGAGACACGGUCCAGACUCCUACGGGAGGCAGCAUG